Molecule: long non-coding RNA, 985 nt
Organism: Prunus avium (sweet cherry)
Lineage: Eukaryota; Viridiplantae; Streptophyta; Magnoliopsida; Rosales; Rosaceae
Source: RefSeq, a predicted model, not a curated record
AUUUUGUGCUGUGGUCUGUGCAGGUUUUCAACUUUUUAAUUUAUGUUUGACCAUUAAUUUGCAGACAAGGUGAGGAUUUCAUCUUAGAAUACUCUUCCCCCCAAUUUUCCAUAUCGCAUUAUUUUCUUCUUCCCCAGAUUUCACUCUCUCUCUCUCUCUCUCUCUCUCUCUCUAACCCAAAACCCUCUCCGGCUCUAUCUGACCCCAAUCCCUCCGAUUCUCUCCAACUCGAAACCCUUUAUGAUUCUUUCUCAUAUAGAAAUCCUCUUGGUUCCCAAACCCUCUCACGACUGCAAUCUCAAGGUAACCCUAACUCUCUCUAUCGCUCUUUUAUUUUCCCGAUUUUAUCAAAACAUUCUUUCAGUUUAGCUUUGCGGAACCUCACGGCUGCACUCUCAGGUUGGUUUUACUAAAUUUAAUGGAACCUCAUUGGAAGAGAAGCCAUGUGAUUCGUUGAAGUUGUAGAAAAAGCUGGGUGGAGGAUGGUGGGAGAGAGAGAUUUGUCUUUAAUCUCAGCCACCCACUUCACCCAUUUUCUCCAAUUAAAGUUCCUUUGGUACAUGGAAGCUAUCCAAUUGGGAUGGUAUUGGAGUGGGAGAGCCUCUGAAGUUUCUCUUCACAAGACUAGCUAGAGGAGCAACAACAGUUUCCUAAAAGCUCAUGUCAAGACAUAAGUUGGUGGUUCAAUUGAUGAAUGUCAAGGAUCUUAGCAUAGCUCACGUCAAGAGUAAUCUUCAACUUUGAUUAAAUGUAUAGGAGCCAGAAGAUGGAAGACUCCGAUCAAGCUGUUGUAGCAUGGGAAUCAGGGACGCCAAUGGUGAUUGAAGGUUUAUAAAGAGCCAUCCAUGUAUGAUAAAUUUUUAAUGACACUAGGGUCUAGUAAAUAUGUAAUAAUUUUAAAUGUAUUCAUACAUUUAAGUAUAUGGUUGUAUUUUAAAUUAUUGUAUAUAGUUGUAUCGUUCUAGUGGAUGUACAAUUUCUAAUU